This 462-nucleotide long non-coding RNA is filed under the name Microcebus murinus (gray mouse lemur). RNAcentral's name for it is "lncRNA (ENSMICG00000048232.1)". Lineage: Eukaryota; Metazoa; Chordata; Mammalia; Primates; Cheirogaleidae. The record is from RNAcentral.
CUCCCCGCCUGCGGCUGCCGGGGAGCGCGUUUGUUCCGGGCGGGAUGGUGUGGCCUCUCUGAGCUACCCUAUCCUGGAGGGGCCUGAGAAGGUUCCUGCCCUGCACAUUGAUGAGAAGGGCUUCCUGGUGUCAGGGUCUAUGAUGGGGACGUCCACAAUUGAAGUGACUGCACAAGAGCCUUUUGGGACCAACCAAACCAUCAUUGUUGGUAUAAAGGUGAGUGCUCCCAGGCCCAGAGAGAAGUCAUCACUUGCACCCAGAGUCUCUCCUGAGCUGCCAGGAGCAGUUCCAGCUGGCCGUCUCCGAAUUCCCAGCACGUGAUGUUCUCACGGUGGAGCCAGGCUUCGAUGCUGCUCUGGGUAAGUUUGCCAGGAUUGGAAAGUGAAAUGGACUUGCAGAGAGUCCCUGCCCUGUGGACAUCUCGGGUCUGCUGCGCGUUCAGCUCCCAGCAGCCACCAGUC